AUAAUUCAAAAAACAGCACCCAUCGUUCGAGAAAACUACAAUACACCGAAAUCUUAUUAUACAAACUUGUACAACCUAAAAGGGCACGUCUGCUUUGAAUCACCAAAAUUUCGUUUUUGUCAUUUUGAGUUCCCGCUAUAUCGCCUGGGAGAUCAAGAUAUUUUACCUCGAGUUUGGUGACACUUUGUCGAAGAAAAAUUUGCCUAAUAGGAAUUCUGUCAUUUUAAAAUGAUUUUUUACGUAAGUUGGACAACUUUAGUUUUUUUAAUAAUUCAAAAAACAAUUUUGCCAUUUUGCCGUCAGUCAAAUUUAUUUUGUAAAUAUUUAGUAUUUCAAGCUCUAGCUAGUUCGGUACGUAAUAGAACGCCAUCCGCCCGUUUUUCACAAGAUGAUAAUGGGACAUAAUGGUAAAAGCAAAGAUCAUAUGAUCUUUGAUAAAAGGUUAAUCUCUUUAUCGUCUUGUUAAUUAAAUAUAAGUAAUAAGCAUUGAGUAACUAUAGCAUUGCUAAUCCAACAGUCAAUCAUAUAAGAAAUUUAGAAAUAAGAACCCAUCGUCCGUGCCCCGUGAUUGGAAUUUCCGUUGGCCUUGGCAGAAAGUGCAUCGCAUCACAGAUAAGACGAACGUUCUCAGCUUCAUUUUACAAUUUUUCCUUCAUUCGGGUCUUUGGCGGGGAGUUGUGUUGUGGCGUACUUACGUAACGUAAUGUAAUUGACAUUGGAUGAUAAGUGGUAAUUAAUAUCUAAAGGACUGUAAGUAUUUUUUUGGAACAAUGCCGAGAAGAUCAGUUAGAAUUUUGUCGAUGCUCAAAAAUCCCGUCCAUCCGUAAGACAGCAUCCAGGAUGAAUAUGAUCUUCAAGACAUCGAACGUUGUCAAGAUGCCCUAAAUCCUGAAGAAAACCGAAUCGCACCAAUACAGACUACAGGGGAAAUUAUGGAGGAGAUAGAUUUGAUAAAACCAAAUACAAAAGGUAAACUCCAGCAUAAAUCUCUAGUAGCGCGCCAUAUGGUCUUCAGAAGAAAAAUCAGCUGUCUUAGGUUUUUUCAACCAAGAAAUUAAAAAAAGAUCUAGUACCCGGAGAAGCUCAAUGUGAAAAGUGCUUAGAAGAACAUGAUGUUUUGCCCACAAGAUCAUGGACCGACGUAAAAUUCUGCAUUAAAAACCAUCUAGACAAGAGAAAAGAUGAGUGCCUUUACUCAUACAAAGUUAAAAACUGCCUUUGUUGUACUAUAGUGUGACAUUUUACACGUUUAAUCUAUUUCUUAUUACUAAAAAAUGUACAGGUACUAGGUAGCUUUACUGAAAGCAUUGAAUUUAUAGAUAGUUAUCAAUUCAAUGCUGAAAGUACCAUUGCUGUACUAAUUAAGAUUAUUGUAGUUUUCUGAAACAUUUUUAAUUUUUCUGUUGUUCAUUGGGAUUUAUAAAAUUCCUUCUGUAUUUGUGUAUAGCCAACUGAAUAAAGAUUUCUAA
Photinus pyralis (common eastern firefly) is the source of this 1469-nucleotide long non-coding RNA. RefSeq lists it as uncharacterized. The record is from RefSeq and is a predicted model, not a curated record. The transcript has 5 exons. Lineage: Eukaryota; Metazoa; Arthropoda; Insecta; Coleoptera; Lampyridae.